This is a long non-coding RNA of Varroa destructor (honeybee mite), 1012 nucleotides long. RefSeq lists it as uncharacterized. The record is from RefSeq and is a predicted model, not a curated record. Lineage: Eukaryota; Metazoa; Arthropoda; Arachnida; Mesostigmata; Varroidae.
AAAUAUUGAGUUUCCUCAUUUGAAAUUGGCCUGUGCCAAAGGACCCUACUCACAACGUAAUUGCUAAACAAAAAUAUUUUUAUGGAUGAUCUGAGCCACUUACAUGUAUUGUUAUAGGCGCACACUAGUAAGCUACCUUCCCAAUUUUGACAGAACUGUCGAAUGAGGGACAGACGCAUACAGAAAAUUAAAUUCUCUGUAUCUAUAAGCUAAGGCGGCAAUUAUUAAAUCAAUCGACCAAACGGUUCGGAACCGCCUAGAAUUCCAAAAAAGCUUCCGAGUCAAUAGUGUGCUCCAUAGGCGCGUUUCCUGUUCAGGGCAGAGGAGCGUACGCCUCAUAAGGACGCAAGAACCGCAAUCGGUCUACAGACAAUGUCUACAGACAAAUUGUUUGAAAUCGAACCCAUCUAACCCAAGUUCCAGAUCUGCGAAAGUACAGGUUAGCGACUACGGAGAAUGCGUUUGCUCGGGAUUAAACAAAGUCUCGCAUUAAUAGAGAAAGGAACAGUGUGUGAUAGCAUGCACGAAAUUCUCCAUUGUUGAGCUAGUACAGGUUUUGAGUACCGCACGUUGAGCACGUCCGUCUCUUGAACUCCAAACCUGUCAGUGGCAAAUACGUUUGUUGCCAUUGUUACCAACCGGCUACAACGUAAUCAUUUGGGAAAGCUCGUCGUAAUGCGCUAUGCCACAAGUAUCAAGUCGAUGAUUUCACAUGCCCAAGCUAUAGGCAAACAGUUAUCUAUUCUUCGUUGUUAAUUCGUAGCGAAGCUGAACAUCCACACGAAAUAUUUGUAUGGAGAUCUUCACCGUAAGGGGGAUGAGGCAAAGCUUGAAAGACGUAUUUAGGCUAUAGAGAUUGGACGGCUGCAUUGGGGGGACGAACGUGGGCAUUUGCGGUGUUCGUAAUAGUGCCCCAGAAAGACUACGAAGCUGGAAGAUGGGAGGUAGUCCAGGGCGAAGGUUAAUCAAGAAGAAAUGGAGUCAAUAAAAUAUGUAUAUGUUUUUUUGUGGA